GGUCUCGAUUUGGAAAUGAUACUGUUGUAGAUGGUAUGCUUAAAGAUGGUCUUUGGGACGCUUACAAUGACUUUGCCAUGGGUGUUUGUGCUGAGAUAUGUGCCAGCCAGUAUUCCAUUACAAGAGAAGAGCAGGAUGCAUAUGCUAUUAAGAGCUUUGAGCGAGGACUUGCUGCACAAAAUAAUGGUCUAUUAUCCUGGGAAAUAGCUCCGGUCAAGGUUCCUUCCGGAAGAGGGAAGCC
This 241-nucleotide unclassified non-coding RNA is filed under the name Hevea brasiliensis (rubber tree). Lineage: Eukaryota; Viridiplantae; Streptophyta; Magnoliopsida; Malpighiales; Euphorbiaceae. The record is from RNAcentral.